This 284-nucleotide long non-coding RNA is filed under the name Homo sapiens (human). Its description in RNAcentral is "non-protein coding lnc-KLRG1-8:2". The record is from RNAcentral. Lineage: Eukaryota; Metazoa; Chordata; Mammalia; Primates; Hominidae.
AUCUGGGGACAGCCAUGUGGUGGUAGAGAGCGUCUGAUGUCUUGAACAGCUGUUGCCUGCCAAAAUGGACAAAGAACCAAGAGCAGCUGCAGGCCACGCACCACCACUGGGAUUGCUGUGACCUUCCUGCCUUGCCCCUGGGUCUUAAAUCACCAAACUCUAUGGCUCACACUGGGCUGACACUGCUGACCUUACAGCCUUGCAAAUGAUGUCAUCACCAUACGUUCUUCACUCAUGACGUGGCAUGGAUUUGACCAAAGGCGUGAUCAUGUUUAAAAUAAAAA